This 881-nucleotide ribosomal RNA is filed under the name uncultured bacterium. RNAcentral describes it as "bacterial SSU rRNA". It matches the Rfam family "Bacterial small subunit ribosomal RNA", at positions 46 to 917 of the family's 1533-position model. The record is from RNAcentral.
GCCUACACAUGCAAGUCGAACGGCAGCAUGCACUAGCUUGCUAGUGUGAUGGCGAGUGGCGGACGGGUGAGUAACGCGUAGGAAUCUGCCUUGAUGUUUGGGACAACUCGGGGAAACUCGAGCUAAUACCGGAUAAUCUUUAAGGAGGAAAGCUGGGUUUUGGCCUGGCGCAUUAAGAUGAGCCUGCGUACGAUUAGCUAGUUGGUAGGGUAAAGGCCUACCAAGGCGAUGAUCGUUAGCUGUUCUGAGAGGAAGACCAGCCACACUGGGACUGAGACACGGCCCAGACUCCUACGGGAGGCAGCAGUGGGGAAUAUUGGACAAUGGGGGGAACCCUGAUCCAGCAAUGCCGCGUGUGUGAAGAAGGCCUGCGGGUUGUAAAGCACUUUCGUUGGGGAGGAAGAUAUAUCCUUGAAUAGGGGAUGUAUUUGACGUUACCCGAAGAAGAAGCACCGGCUAACUCUGUGCCAGCAGCCGCGGUAAGACAGAGGGUGCGAGCGUUAAUCGGAAUAACUGGGCGUAAAGAGCACGUAGGCGGUUUACUAAGUUUAGUGUGAAAGACCAGGGCUUAACCUUGGUAUGUCAUUAGAUACUGGUAGACUAGAGAGCGGUAUAGGAGAGUGGAAUUUCCGGUGUAGCGGUGAAAUGCGUAGAUAUCGGAAGGAACAUCAGAGGCGAAAGCGACUCUCUGGGCUGAAUCUGACGCUGAGGUGCGAAGGCGUGGGUAGCGAACAGGAUUAGAUACCCUGGUAGUCCACGCAGUAAACGAUGAAGACUAGAUGUAUGGUUGUUACGGCAACUGUGUAUUGCAGCUAACGCGAUAAGUUUUCCGCCUGGGGGAGUACGGUCGCAAGAUUAAAAACUCAAAGGGAAUUGACGGG